AGAUUGAACGCUGGCGGCGUGCUUAACACAUGCAAGUCGCGCGUGAAAGGACUUCGGUCCGAGUAAAGCGGCGCACGGGUGAGUAACGCGUGGAUGAUCUACCCGAUGAGUUAGGAAUAACGGCUGGAAACGGUCGCUAAUACCAGAUACGCUCCGAUUUCAACUUCGGGGGAAAGGUGGCCUCUGCUUGCAAGCUACUGCUCAUGGAUGAGUCCGCGUCCCAUUAGCUAGUUGGUGGGUAACGGCCCACCAAGGCGACGAUGGGUAGCCGGUCUGAGAGGAUGACCGGCCACACUGGGACUGGAACACGGCCCAGACUCCUACGGGAGGCAGCAGUGGGGAAUAUUGCGCAAUGGGCGAAAGCCUGACGCAGCGACGCCGCGUGAGGGAUGAAAGGUCCUCGGAUCGUAAACCUCUGUCAGGAGGGAAGAACCGCCACGGUGCUAAUCAGCCGUGGUCUGACGGUACCUCCAAAGGAAGCACCGGCUAACUCCGUGCCAGCAGCAGC
This 508-nucleotide ribosomal RNA is filed under the name uncultured bacterium. Its description in RNAcentral is "bacterial SSU rRNA". It matches the Rfam family "Bacterial small subunit ribosomal RNA", at positions 26 to 518 of the family's 1533-position model. The record is from RNAcentral.